Molecule: long non-coding RNA, 186 nt
Organism: Notothenia coriiceps (black rockcod)
Lineage: Eukaryota; Metazoa; Chordata; Actinopteri; Perciformes; Nototheniidae
Exons: 3
Source: RefSeq, a predicted model, not a curated record
AUGAGGAAGAAGAGGAUGGAGCGUGAUCGAGAGGGAGAGGUAAACAGAGAGAGCAGAUGUUCCUGUUUAAAGCGGAGCAGAUGAAGAGAUAUGAAAAGGAAAAGAUAAACCGGAUAAACCAGGCCAGAGAGCAGGGCUGGAGACACGUGCUGAGCUCCAGUGGAGGCAGCAGCCCCGAGAGGAAGG